This 30-nucleotide non-coding RNA is filed under the name Homo sapiens (human). The record is from RNAcentral. Lineage: Eukaryota; Metazoa; Chordata; Mammalia; Primates; Hominidae.
UGGGAUAUCACAUGACUGAAUGGCAAUUGC